RNAcentral lists this ribosomal RNA (465 nucleotides) under uncultured bacterium. RNAcentral describes it as "partial 16S ribosomal RNA". It matches the Rfam family "Bacterial small subunit ribosomal RNA", at positions 28 to 507 of the family's 1533-position model. The record is from RNAcentral.
GACGAACGCUGGCGGCGUGCUUAACACAUGCAAGUCGUACGGUAAGGCCCUUUCGGGGGUACACGAGUGGCGAACGGGUGAGUAACACGUGAGUAACCUGCCCACAACUUUGGGAUAACGCUAGGAAACUGGUGCUAAUACUGGAUAUGUGCUCCUGCUGCAUGGUGGGGGUUGGAAAGCUCCGGCGGUUGUGGAUGGACUCGCGGCCUAUCAGCUUGUUGGUGGGGUAGUGGCCUACCAAGGCGGCGACGGGUAGCCGGCCUGAGAGGGUGACCGGCCACAUUGGGACUGAGAUACGGCCCAGACUCCUACGGGAGGCAGCAGUGGGGAAUAUUGCACAAUGGGCGCAAGCCUGAUGCAGCAACGCCGCGUGCGGGAUGACGGCCUUCGGGUUGUAAACCGCUUGCAGCAGGGACGAAGCUUUUUGUGACGGUACCUGCAGAAGAAGCACCGGCUAACUACGUG